GUCGAGCGGAGAUGAGGUGCUUGCACCUUAUCUUAGCGGCGGACGGGUGAGUAAUGCUUAGGAAUCUGCCUAUUAGUGGGGGACAACAUUCCGAAAGGAAUGCUAAUACCGCAUACGUCCUACGGGAGAAAGCAGGGGAUCUUCGGACCUUGCGCUAAUAGAUGAGCCUAAGUCGGAUUAGCUAGUUGGUGGGGUAAAGGCCUACCAAGGCGACGAUCUGUAGCGGGUCUGAGAGGAUGAUCCGCCACACUGGGACUGAGACACGGCCCAGACUCCUACGGGAGGCAGCAGUGGGGAAUAUUGGACAAUGGGGGGAACCCUGAUCCAGCCAUGCCGCGUGUGUGAAGAAGGCCUUAUGGUUGUAAAGCACUUUAAGCGAGGAGGAGGCUACUGAGACUAAUACUCUUGGAUAGUGGACGUUACUCGCAGAAUAAGCACCGGCUAACUCUGUGCCAGCAGCCGCGGUAAUACAGAGGGUGCGAGCGUUAAUCGGAUUUACUGGGCGUAAAGCGUGCGUAGGCGGCUUUUUAAGUCGGAUGUGAAAUCCCCGAGCUUAACUUGGGAAUUGCAUUCGAUACUGGGGAGCUAGAGUAUGGGAGAGGAUGGUAGAAUUCCAGGUGUAGCGGUGAAAUGCGUAGAGAUCUGGAGGAAUACCGAUGGCGAAGGCAGCCAUCUGGCCUAAUACUGACGCUGAGGUACGAAAGCAUGGGGAGCAAACAGGAUUAGAUACCCUGGUAGUCCAUGCCGU
This 748-nucleotide ribosomal RNA is filed under the name uncultured Acinetobacter sp. Its description in RNAcentral is "bacterial SSU rRNA". It matches the Rfam family "Bacterial small subunit ribosomal RNA", at positions 61 to 803 of the family's 1533-position model. The record is from RNAcentral. Lineage: Bacteria; Pseudomonadati; Pseudomonadota; Gammaproteobacteria; Moraxellales; Moraxellaceae.